Long non-coding RNA from Mastomys coucha (southern multimammate mouse), 1182 nucleotides. RefSeq lists it as uncharacterized. The transcript has 5 exons. Lineage: Eukaryota; Metazoa; Chordata; Mammalia; Rodentia; Muridae. The record is from RefSeq and is a predicted model, not a curated record.
UUCAGGAAGUCCCAGGGAGACCAGAUUGACUGGAUCCCUCCCUGCCAGACUAAGUGAGAAAACUCCAGCCUCUCAGACAAGCCACCCUGCAGAGUCUGCAAGACCAGCUGCCUAGGAGAAGCAGACUCCAACCAGGCUUCCCGGAAGAGAUUUAGAUCAACUGAGGUAACGGGAAACCACUAGCCUGUUGAACUGCCUCCAAGUUGCAUAGUGUGCUCCAGGCUCCCAGCUUUUGUGAACUGUCACUUAUGCUGAGGUGACCUUUGGUGAUGCAUCUGUCUGUGAAUCAUGUCUGGAAGUAGUAACCUGUCACCCAUAUUCUGUCUCUAGUGAGAAGUUUAUGGAGUGAAGGCCAAUUUCCAGAGGAAGCAGGCUGAAGGUCACCAAGUGACUGGACGAGCCCUCUAUUCUCUGGCGCACACAUUUGGAGGACCUAGAGGUCUGAUGGCUAGCAGCUGAGCUUCCUGGAGUGCAGAUCCCCUCCACAGCAGACAUCUUAACACAGAACUGAAAUACGACAGUCUGCGGGAUUAUGGAUCCUGGAUUUGCACAUGGUUUCUGGAGACAGCAGCACAGACCAUGGACUUCCAUGAAGAUCAACACAGACCCCUGCUGCAGGAAGACCACAGACCCAAACAUGGUCCUUGGAGGAAGCAUGGCCCUGGACAUUACCAUGGCCUCAGGUGGCAGCACAGGCCACUCAGAUCAAGAAUCGUGGCAAGACUGGAAACAGAAAUGAGGUCACAGUUUUACCAUUUAACUAGAGUGGCCUCUGAAGCACAGCAAGCUACUAGACUUUCUAGUUGGACAAGAGAUGAGGAAGAUGGGCUGUGAGAGGCGAAUUCACAGUUACCACACAGUCAGUAAAAGCUCAUACCUGCAUCUGACCCCAGUUAAAAUGGCUCCAGAGUCUGCUUUUUAAAUACUCUAUUUGGCUAUCUGUCGUCAAAGGAAAAAUAUUUAUAAGAAGUUAUCUCGUUAUCUAGAGUAAGUGAAGAUCCCAGACUUUCUCAUCAGUGAAGUCAUGAUGGGAAAACAUGAGGCCAUUCCCAAACGAAGCCUUAACAAUCAAGACAGGUCCUGCCUUAAUUUUAUGUAUAGAUAGGCUGAAAAGAUGAGAAGAAACUACAGCUUUUAUUUUAUUUAAAAAAAAUCACAAGAAGAACAACAACAACAACAAAA